UACGUAGGGACCGAGCGUUGUCCGGAAUCAUUGGGCGUAAAGAGCGUGUAGGCGGCCAACUAAGUCCUGCGUGAAAUCUCGGGGCUCAACCCCGAGCGGUCGUGGGAAACUGGUUGACUAGAGUGCGGGAGAGGAGAGUGGAAUUCCUGGUGUAGCGGUGAAAUGCGCAGAUAUCAGGAAGAACACCCGUGGCGAAGGCGGCUCUCUGGAACGCAACUGACGCUGAGACGCGAAAGCGUGGGGAGCAAACAGG
RNAcentral lists this ribosomal RNA (253 nucleotides) under uncultured bacterium. RNAcentral describes it as "partial 16S ribosomal RNA". It matches the Rfam family "Bacterial small subunit ribosomal RNA", at positions 524 to 776 of the family's 1533-position model. The record is from RNAcentral.